AUCUAGUCUCUGUAUAUCUAUGGUCGGCACGUCUGGUAGCAUCUCUGGCUGCUGUUGACAUUGUUUUUGGAGUCAAAUACGGUGGAAGCUGAAUUAGUGAGGAUGACUCCUGCUCCUGUCAUCUCUAAGCUCCUCACACAUCUUUACCUGCACAUGAGGAAAAUCACUCCUGUAGAAUGCAGAUGUUCAGAGGGAGAUGAUGCCACAUCUGGUCCAGCUGAUGGAAGGUCUUGAAGUUCUCUGACUGGCCUCGACUGAAGAUAGUCGUCUCACUGGAUUUAAGGUUCAGAUGCUCAGUAACAAACUCCACCAAUGAGCCAACAGGGAAGCUUUAGGUUUAUUAAAUGUUGCUAUGAAGGUAUCGCUGUUUUUCUUUGUGAAUGCAAUGUGCUCCAACUGAAACUUGAAUUAGAACUUAGAAGUAAAUCCUUCCAUCUAAAAGGAUUUAGUUGCAUUAAUAACCUCAUAACAUUCUAAUUUUUAUUCCAGUCUUGGUUGGAAAUAGAAUCUCUGUAUUGAUUCAGGUAAAAACUAAACUUCACAGCAUGUUGGAGCAAAACAACCAGAUGAAAACUGUGAUGGUGUUGGAUUGUCAGACCAUAAUGUUGCAGCUCAAAGCAGCUUUUCUAGCUCAGUUCAUUCUGACAUUCAGCUAUGAAUCAACACAGCAGAUGGUGAUCCAUGCUGUGGAAGUCUCACAUCUCCUGAUUUAAUGGAGCUGCUUUGCACUUUUUACACUGUUUAUUCACCAACACUUUAUUUAAUAAAAGUCCCAUCAAGUUUUCAUGAGGAAUGUGAUGUUUUAAUUUCUCUGUGAAUAACUGCAGUCUAAUGCAACAGCUGGAGUUGUAACAUCUGUCCUGAUAUUGAUCAUGAAGUAUUGAUCAGAAUACUUACGGUCAGCAGUCAUCCCUGAAGUUUUACAUUAAAAUCUUUACCUG
Long non-coding RNA from Amphiprion ocellaris (clown anemonefish), 941 nucleotides. NCBI's taxonomy places the organism in Eukaryota, Metazoa, Chordata, Actinopteri, Pomacentridae. The record is from Ensembl.